UUUCAAAACAAUUACAAUAAGAGGUGUGUUAGGAACACAGUCUACAGUGAGCUGGAGGACAGGCCUCAUGGAGAACAGAGAUUGGGAACUGGGCAUCCUGCCAGUCGUGGAGUGACGAAGCAAGUUCAAGUUGCAGAGGCUAGAUCACUCAUAUUUACCAGCCACUUUAUAGUCAAAUCAAAUCAUCAGCCCUCCAAAGCUGCUGCUGCAACUGUUAUCUCCAUUUUACAGCAAUGGCUGCUCUUCCCACUGGAGAUUGGGAGUAUCCUGAGAGUCGGGACAUUAUUAUGCUUGUUCUCCACCAAAUCCCCAGAGCCCCUCACAGGGCAGGCUGGAGAGAUGCUGCUGAGAUCCGCUGAACUGCACUUUGGAGUGUCCUGGGUUUCUCUGUAUAUCUUUGGAGAAGGAAUCUCACCAUGUAGCCCUGGCUGGCUUGGAACUCACUAGGCAGACCAAGAAAUUGCAGCAACCCUAUCACCUCAACCUCCUGAGUCCUAACACUGAAGGCAUGUGCCACCAUGCCUGGCUGCAUAGCUUUUUUUUUUUUUUAACAACUUACAUGUAAAUUAAUUUAAACUAAAUUAAACAUAAAAUUCAGAGUCUCAGCUGACCCUUGUAUGGAGUGCUUCGCAACUGUGGGGGGUGGCUAGCAUAGAACUGCAGUCUUACCCUAUAAAGGGGCUUAUGAGUGAGAGAUGGAGCCUGGCAUGCAGAAAGAGGGAAGUAAUCCUGGUGUGUAUGUGUGUGUGUGUGUGUGUGUGUGUGUGGCGGGGGAAUGGUGACAGACCCUUAUGGAGCAGGGACCACUUGUGGAAGGAAGGGUUUUUGAAGAGAAUCAGAAUCCCACAAUCCCAUGGGACAGCACAG
This 867-nucleotide long non-coding RNA is filed under the name Cricetulus griseus (Chinese hamster). RNAcentral's name for it is "lncRNA (ENSCGRG00015041847.1)". Lineage: Eukaryota; Metazoa; Chordata; Mammalia; Rodentia; Cricetidae. The record is from RNAcentral.